Unclassified non-coding RNA from Macaca fascicularis (crab-eating macaque), 148 nucleotides. It matches the Rfam family "Metazoan signal recognition particle RNA". Rfam says of the family: The signal recognition particle (SRP) is a universally conserved ribonucleoprotein. It is involved in the co-translational targeting of proteins to membranes. NCBI's taxonomy places the organism in Eukaryota, Metazoa, Chordata, Mammalia, Primates, Cercopithecidae. The record is from Ensembl.
GCUAGGUGUGGCGGUGCACACCUGUGGUCCCAGCUACUUGGGAGGCUGAGGUGGGAGGAUUGCUUGAGCCCAGGAGGUCAAGGCUGCAGUGAGCAGUGAUCAUGCCUCUGCACUCCAGCCUGGGUGACAGAGCAAGACCCAGUCUCGA